This 440-nucleotide ribosomal RNA is filed under the name uncultured bacterium. Its description in RNAcentral is "partial 16S ribosomal RNA". It matches the Rfam family "Bacterial small subunit ribosomal RNA", at positions 338 to 795 of the family's 1533-position model. The record is from RNAcentral.
CCUACGGGAGGCAGCAGUGGGGAAUAUUGCACAAUGGGGGAAACCCUGAUGCAGCGACGCCGCGUGAGCGAUGAAGUCUUUCGGUAUGUAAAGCUCUAUCAGCAGGGAAGAAAAUGACUGUACCUGACUAAGAAGCCCCGGCUAACUACGUGCCAGCAGUCGCGGUAAUACGUCGGGGGCAAGCGUUAUCCGGAUUUACUGGGUGUAAAGGGAGCGUAGGCGGGGGUGCAAGCCAGAUGUGAAAGCCCGGGGCUCAACCGCGGGACUGCAUUUGGAACUGUGCUGCUAGAGUGUCGGAGAGGCAGGCGGAAUUCGUGGUGUAGCGGUGAAAUGCGUAGAUAUUAGGAGGAACACCGGUGGCGAAGGCGGCCUGCUGGACGAUGACUGACGUUGAGGCUCGAAAGCGUGGGGAGCAAACAGGAUUAGAUACCCUAGUAGUC